GGGUGCGAUUAAACCAGCACUAAUGCAUCGGAUCCCAUCAGAACUCCGCAGCUAAUGACUGAAAACGGAUGGGUGACCUCCUAGGAAGUCCUCGUGUGGCACCCC
RNAcentral lists this ribosomal RNA (105 nucleotides) under Beta vulgaris subsp. vulgaris (sugar beet). Lineage: Eukaryota; Viridiplantae; Streptophyta; Magnoliopsida; Caryophyllales; Amaranthaceae. The record is from RNAcentral.